GACGAACGCUGGCGGCGUGGAUUAGGCAUGCAAGUCGAACGGUAUCAUCCUUUCGGGGGUGAGAGAGUGGCGAACUGGUGAGUAACACGUAGGUUAUCUACCCUCAAGACGGGGACAACCCAGGGAAACUUGGGCUAAUACCGGAUGUGAGCAACUUUUAGUUGUUUGAAAGGUGGCGUAAGCUGUCGCUUGGGGAUGAGCCUGCGUCCUAUUAGUUAGUUGGCGGGGUAAAGGCCCACCAAGGCGAUGAUAGAUAGGCGGCCUUAACGGGUGGUCGCCCACACUGGGAUUGAGAUACGGCCCAGACUCCUACGGGAGGCAGCAGUCGAGAAUAGUCUACAAUGGUCGGAAGACUGAUAGUGCGACGCCGCGUGAACGAUGAAUCCCUUCGGGGUGUAAAGUUCUUUUAUAUGUGAGCAGUGCUUCUUAUAUUAACAGUAUGGGGAAGAGAUAUUAGCAUAUGAAUAAGCAACGGCUAACUCCGUGCCAGCAGCCGCGGUAAG
Molecule: ribosomal RNA, 503 nt
Filed under: uncultured bacterium
Lineage: Bacteria
Description: bacterial SSU rRNA
Rfam family: Bacterial small subunit ribosomal RNA
Source: RNAcentral